CCUUUAAAGAGUGCGUAAUAGCUCACUAGUCGAGUGACACUGCGCCGAAGAUGUACCGGGGCUAAGCAUAAUACCGAAACUGUGAAUUCUUAUGAAUGGUAGGGGAGCGUUCCAAUUGCGAUGAAGGUAGACCGUGAGGACUGCUGGAGCGUUUGGAAGUGAGAAUGCCGGUGUGAGUAGCGCAAGCUGGGUGAGAAUCCCAGCCACCGAUUGUCUAAGGUUUUCUGGGGAAGGUUCGUCCUCCCAGAGUAAGUCGGGACCUAAGGCGAGGCUGAAAAGCGUAGUCGAUGGACAACAGGUUGAUAUUCCUGUACCGCCUAUGUAACUGAUGGAGUGACGGAGAAGGCUAACAAGAGCCAGUUAUUGGAUUCUGGUCUAAGCACAAAGACUUGUGAGUAGGUAAAUCCGCUACACUAUAAAGUUGAAGUGUUAUGGUGACGAGAACUUCGGUUCUUUAAAUCUUGUGACGCCAUGCUUCCAAGAAAAGCUUCUAGGGCUAAUUACAUAGGCGCCCGUACCCAGAACCGCCACAGGUGGACAAGAAGAGUAUUCUAAGGUGAGCGAGAGAACUAUGGCUAAGGAACUCGGCAAAAUGACCCCGUAACUUCGGGAGAAGGGGAGGUUACUUCGGUAACCCGCAGUGAAUAGUCCCAGGCAACUGUUUACCAAAAACACAGCUCUCUGCUAAACCGCAAGGUGAUGUAUAGGGGGUGACACCUGCCCAGUGCUGGAAGGUUAAGAGGAAGGGUUAGUAUGGCGUAAGCUAUGAUACGAAGCUCUGAAUUGAAGCCCCAGUGAACGGCGGCCGUAACUAUAACGGUCCUAAGGUAGCGAAAUUCCUUGUCGGGUAAAUUCCGACCCGCACGAAAGGUGUAAUGAUCUGGGAACUGUCUCGGCCAUAGACUCGGUGAAAUCUUAAUACCUGUGAAAAUGCAGGUUACCCGCAACAGGACGGAAAGACCCCGUGGAGCUUUACUGUAGCUUGAUAUUGAGCUUCGGUAUGUUAUGUAGAGGAUAGGUGGGAGACGUUGAUACUAUGGCGCCAGCUAUAGAGUAGUCAUCCUUGGAAUACCACCCUUAACAUAUUGGAGUUCUAACCUAGACCCAUUAUCUGGGCCAGGGACAGUGUCUGGUGGGCAGUUUGACUGGGGCGGUCGCCUCCCAAAAAGUAACGGAGGCGCUCAAAGGUUCCCUCAGAAUGGUUGGAAAUCAUUCGAAGAGUGUAAUGGUAUAAGGGAGCUUAACUGCGAGACCAACAAGUCGAGCAGGUGCGAAAGCAGGACAUAGUGAUCAGGCGAUUCAGUAUGGAAUGGUCGUCGCUUAACGGAUAAAAGUUACCCCGGGGAUAACAGGCUGAUACCACCCAAUAGUUCAUAUAGACGGUGGUGUUUGGCACCUCGAUGUCGGCUCGUCACAUCCUGGAGGUGGAUUCGCUUCCAAGGGUUGGGCUGUUCGCCCAUUAAAGUGGCACGCGAGCUGGGUUCAGAAC
Molecule: ribosomal RNA, 1489 nt
Filed under: gut metagenome
Description: bacterial LSU rRNA
Rfam family: Bacterial large subunit ribosomal RNA
Source: RNAcentral